CGGAUUGACGCAACCCGGGUUUACAGAUAUAAUAAAGCAAGUGAUUGCCUCUCAGCAGCUUCGCCUGGCAUGUGCCGGGUCCUGCGCAAUAAGAAUCUGUGAACCUCGUCAGGUCCGGAAGGAAGCAGCGAUAAGCAGAGCCCCUUAUGUGCCGCAGACCAGCCGGGCACAUAUCCAACGCGGGGCUGCUGAGAGGCAAUCUUUUCAAUCUG
Molecule: signal recognition particle RNA, 212 nt
Filed under: Clostridiales bacterium
Lineage: Bacteria; Bacillati; Bacillota; Clostridia; Eubacteriales
Description: signal recognition particle sRNA large type
Rfam family: Bacterial small signal recognition particle RNA (bases 73-171)
Source: RNAcentral